GAUAAACGCUGGCGGCGUGCUUAACACAUGCAAGUCGAACGGAAAGGCCCAAGCUUGCUUGGGUACUCGAGUGGCGAACGGGUGAGUAACACGUGGGUGAUCUGCCCUGCACUUCGGGAUAAGCCUGGGAAACUGGGUCUAAUACCGGAUAGGACCACAUUUUGGAUGGUGUGGUGGAAAGUUUUUCGGUGUGGGAUGAGCUCGCGGCCUAUCAGCUUGUUGGUGGGGUAAUGGCCUACCAAGGCGUCGACGGGUAGCCGGCCUGAGAGGGUGUACGGCCACAUUGGGACUGAGAUACGGCCCAGACUCCUACGGGAGGCAGCAGUGGGGAAUAUUGCACAAUGGGCGCAAGCCUGAUGCAGCGACGCCGCGUGGGGGAUGACGGCCUUCGGGUUGUAAACUCCUUUCGCUAGGGACGAAGCGUUAUGUGACGGUACCUGGAGAAGAAGCACCGGCUAACUACGUG
This 466-nucleotide ribosomal RNA is filed under the name uncultured bacterium. RNAcentral describes it as "partial 16S ribosomal RNA". It matches the Rfam family "Bacterial small subunit ribosomal RNA", at positions 28 to 507 of the family's 1533-position model. The record is from RNAcentral.